AGUAUAAAAGUUAAAAAUUAAACAAAUAUAAUUUUUUUUCUCCAAUUUUUGCUUUUACAUGCAAAGCCACACUAAAGAACCAAUACACAUGAUACAAAAAUGACCUUCAAUCAAUCUUUCCAAAAUGCUUAAUUUUGUAAACAUUUUAAUUAAAUAGUUGAAUUAAACAUAUCAUUUUCUUGAGUCCUUAGGCCUCACUUCAAUGCCUUCAAUGAUAAGCCCUCCUUUCAAAUGAUAACCCUUCACCUCCCUCAAGCUCAUCCUCACUUCCUCAUCACCUUCACCAUUAAAGAAGUCUCCAAGCUCAAGCUCCAUCCACCCAUCUCCAUCUCUCCUCUCACAUGGAACUCUUCCAUCACCUUCAAUCACUCUUGACCUCAACAUCUCUCCGCGGUUCCCAUAAAACAACCUCUCCAUCUGCUUGUUCUUGCUGUCACUACACCUCAGAUAUGCAGUCCCAUUACAGACUUGAGUGCUGUUGGAGACUUCUACAGAUAUCUCUGAUGGCAUCAAGUCAAGCCCAAAUGCCCGGUUGGAGAUUUUGAUGAUGAGAUAUGCACCAUAUUUUGUGUUUGGUGAGAGCAUUUGAGUUCUAAUCUUUCCAUGAAUUUCUAAUCUGCACACUGUUUUGAGCUCAGCCACCUCUGAGAACCUGCAUAUAAGAAAAUGUGAGUACCCUCUCCUAAGUCUUUGAUUUAAGAAAAUGGGUUAAUUUUAUUGACCACUUAUGUACUAGGUAUUGACUAAAUACACCUACACCCCAUUCAUUUUAAAUUUCAUCAAAUGUCUCCUUCAACCUUUUUAUUUAAUAUUUUUAUGUAUUUUUUUUAAUUCAAAAUAAGAAAUGUAUUUAAAGAAUUUUUAAAUCAAUAAAAAUUAAUUAUAUUUAGUUAAUAUCUCAAAAAAGAUUAAUGGAAUCAACCCUAAAAGAACUGAUCCUAAUUUCAGUUUUUCAAGGUGACCCAUUAUUAGGGUUUUCAAAACAAAUGUCAAAAUAUGUGAUAGAGACGCAUCAUCAUGGUGUCAUUUGUAUCACUAUAGCUUGUUCGAUACCCUUAUUACACUUGUUGAUUGUGACAGGCAUGACCGACAUCUCGAAGUUUGGAUUUAGGAGUUUGGAGGGCCCAGCAUGGAAGGUUACUUGGUCAUAAAAAAAAAAUUGAAGGGGAAACAAACCUUGACUCGGGGAUGGAUGUCCAACUCCAAUGCGUAGGAUCAUGGCUCCAUGAAAUGGACAAUUCUCUUGCAGACAUCAUAUAGGAAUUUUUGCCACUCCAUUUGUCUAAUCUGAAUCUCUGCAUUAGAGUCAACAAAGAGAUAAAUGAGAAUUAAUGAAAACUGACGACCAGCUACUUUACUUUUCUUUUUGGUCUCCUUAUGCUUUAUCUUCGAACACGGUAUUAGGAGGGUUUGUUUGAAACAACUCUUCUACUUUCCUCUUUGGAAUUCAAAUUCUAUGGAUUCAUUUGGGCUAUGCAUUCAUGACUCUUCUAGAUGGUGAAAUCAGUCAACUUUUAUGUGGGUAUUAUAUUGGAAAAUUUUUAUAUGGAAUAACAUUGAAUAAUUUGUAUUUAUAAAAAAAAAACAGUAUGUUAUAUAAUGAGUCAAAUUAAUUAGUGAUCAUAUUUAGAUUGAGUUUUACAUCUUUUGAAUAAAAGCUCAGUUGAGCGACAAGUGUAGGCUACGAGUCUCAUUGAAACCCAUUAUGGGAGGGCCUAAUAAAAACCUAAUAUUGAGUUAUGUUAUGUCUCAUUUCUAAUCUAGAUAAAUGGUCUUUCUGUUUUCUCAUAAAGCCACUAUAACUGUUAUCAAAAUCAUAGAAAAGAAGACUCGAUUGUAACAAUCAAUCACUUUUUUUUGUGAUGACUCAAACAUAUAUGUUCUUUAUAGUGAUUUCCUAUUAUUAGUAUGUAAUUAUGUAAAUAUUCUAAGUGUGGCCACAAUACCCGCGAGGCAUGACAGUAUUCAUGCAUAUAUUUUAAAAAAUAAUUAAUUUUAGGAGAAUUUUGGAUUAAGGGUGAUGAGGAGAGGCAAGAAAAGGGCAAUGAAACAAACCUUUUUCCCACCAUCAAUGAGACUGGGAUCACACAAACGCAGAAACAGCUCCUUCUUUGAAGAAACCACCAAGGGCUCAGCCAACCUCGACAAGAUAUCAUGAUAAUCCGCCGGCAAGAACCUCUCCCAGACCACAUCAGACUCCGCCGCUGCCCGGAAAAUGGAAGACACCAGUGAGGAUUUGCAUGCAUCUGGAGGAGAAGUGAGGGAGAGAAUUGUGGAAACACAGCCUUCUGGCAACGUAUUGAGGCCCACACAGUACACCAUUGUAAAGCAAUAUGUUAUUGCUCUUUGUCUUGCUGCCAUUUAUAAUAGAGAGAGAGAGAUGUAGGUGGUCGAUGGUGGACAGAUCCACCACGUAGGGCUGACUUCGAAUUGUAAAAUUUGGAGGCCAGUGUCUUCUGCCAGCAUAUUUAUGAUGACCCAGUGAUGAAAUUCAUGUCUGGUGGCCACCAAGUUGUUGUUGGGGAUUAAUGAAUCAUGUGGAUGAGUUCAUAUCACUGAAGAAGAUGUUGAAAUGAUGAGGGGAAGAGAGUGUGAAACGGUGGGGUGCCACGUGGCCACAUGUUUCAUGUAUUCAGGAUACGUGUAUUAAAGAUAUCACGGAAUAUUUGGUAAUAUGAAAAAUGUGAGAUGGUUAAUUUUAAGAAAAUGUUAAAAGAAAAAAGAAUUCAUGUGAAAAACAAAUUAUAAAGCUAAAGCUACCUCUGAGUGUGAUCCGUGUCAUUGUAUGUCAUUGCAAGCUUUUAUAAAGCCAAGGCACCGUGAUUUUUUAUAGUGAUUUUUUAAAACGUUUUUAAUUUUUUUUUUAUAUUUAAAAUUUUAAAAUAUUAAAAACGUUUUUGAUUGUAAAAUGUAUUUUAUUUUUAUAUAUGAGAUUUUUUUUGUUUUUAUUACCUUUAUUUAUUUUUAAAAUAAAAAUAAGAAGUAAAAGGGUAGUUUUAUGCUUUUAUUUUUAUUUUUCUUGACUUCCUCUUUCUUUUUUAAUUUAUUUUUUAUUUUUUUAUUUAAUUAAGGCAUUUUUUUCUUUAUCUUUUACCUUUUUAUUUAAUUAAAAAUAAAAGAGAGAGAGGAGGCUCUCUUUCCGAUUCUUUUUUCUCCCAUAAUUAAAUGACAAAAAUAAAAAUAAAAAGUAAUCGAAAUGUGUCAUUGAUCACUAUCAUCAUCGGCCAUAGGCCAUGGUAUGUCGCCACUCUUUCUUACUUACGAAAGGGAAAAAAAAAAAAAAGGGAAUUUGAGGAGUUUUGAAAACAGUUUUCUACUCUUCAAAACAAAAAAAAAAUAUUCGAAAACUAUUUUCUAUUUUCUAUUAUUAAAAAUAUAAAAUAUUAUAUUUUUAGAAUAAUAUCUUUUAAUAAAAAAAAACACUAUAUAUAAAAUUUAUUUAUUAAAACAUGUUUAAAAAUAUUUAAAAUUCAUAAACAUCCUUUUUGUUUUACAAAACAUUAAAAAAAUAACUUUUAAAAAACUAAUUUUCAUAAUUGUUUUAAAAAAAACUAAUUUUCAUAAUUGUUUUUUAAAACAAUUAUCAAACAAGGUCUAAAGUUCUGAAAAAUAUUAUCCCAUCAUUUUUAUUUUCAUCUUGUUAAAAUCCCCCAGUCUCACACUUUUUUUUUGUUAAAUAAAUAAAAACAAAAAGUGAAGAAAGAAGAAAAGAAGAAAUAGGAACAAGAAAAGAAAGAAAUAAAAAAUAUAGGAGGGAAGUGGGAAAAGGGCUUGAAAGAAGGUAAAAUCAUCCUUUCAUUUUUACUCUUUUUUUUUUUUCUUUUUUUUUUUUUAAAAAAAAAAUGGGGGAGUAAGGGAAAACUGGUGAAAGUGUUUCACAUUUUUCCUGCCAAACAUUUUUAUGAAAUGAGAGGAGGUUACAACCUGGCCUUAUGAAUUUGGUAUAUGCAAGGUUUGAAUUUGAUAGUUGGACUUUGAGUCUAUAAUAGUUAUUUAUAUUAAAUUAAUAAUUAAUAAAUUAGUUUAUAAUUUUAAAUAUAUUUAGUUUUUGUUUGAUAACCAAAUAUUAGUAAGAAUCCUAAUUGCCAACGAGUUUAGUGUAAAUUUAGAAAUUCCAAUCCAAUCUAGAAUGGGAGAAGUAGGUUUCCCCAUUCUUUAUAAUAAUAAUAAUAAUAAUAAUAAUAAUAAUAAUAAAUUAAAGUAGAGAAUAAGAAAAGUUUAUUAUUUAAAUUUUUUUAUUUUCCGAUCAUUUCUUUUCCCUUUUAUUUUAUUUUUGUUGUACUUCAUCUUUUAACGCAUCGAGUUUCAAAUCUCCCAUCUAUUAAAUUUUUUAUGGAUUUAAAUAUAAAUACUAACACUAACCCAUCAACAUGCAUUACAUUUUUUUUUUCAAUAUAAGAUUUAUUUCAAUAAAUUGAGUAGCCAAAACAUGAAAAGACAAGCUUUGUGUCACAUAAUUGUUAGAAAAAUGAGAAAACCAAACUAUCAAUCUCCAAUCCAAAAAUAGAAACAAAUACCGAUAUACCAAAAUAAUUUGUCUUUUCACUAAUACAAUUCAAGUGAAAGUAAUAUGUAAAACGUAAUUUACAUAAAGUAUAUAUAUAUAUAUAUAUAUAUAUAUAUAUAUAUAAAGACAAAAAAAACACCAAAACUUGACAUGGUUGGAUAGUGUGUCAACAUCUACAGGUCAAAUUAUGAUAAUAAUUGACUAUGAUUUGAAAAGAUUAUAGAUGUCUAUGCUCAAGCUUAUCACAAGAGAUCAGUUCAUGUACCCACAGAAAAAGGGAUACUAGUACUACCAUAAAUGUACCCAAUAUAACCUCUAAAUAACAAAUUGGAGAACCCAAAACACCCACGACACUUGCCUCGACGUGCCUUUCAAUGACCUAAAGAAAACCUCACAAUUUUUUUCCUUCUCUCCAUGACUCUCAUUGUCUUUUCUAUUUUAGUAAAAACCUUAAAAUUCUACUAAAUAAAUAUGUUACGGUGGCAAAUUUUGAUAUGAUUCAUCGAUAUAACAUGAACUUAACACAUUUUUUACGAGUUUGGAUUGAGUAUAAAUGAAUUUAAAUCAAAUUUGUAUCAACUUGUUUAACCGGUUCAAGAAAUAAGUAAUUUUUUAGUCAACCUACAUAAUAGGAAUUUAAUAUAAAUUGAACUAUCCAAUAAUUUUGUCAUUAACUUAAUUAUAUCUAUAAACUAUUUAGCCUGACUUAUUUUAAAUUUAUUUUAAAUAAAUAGGUCAAUUGAGUCAUAAAUAUAUUUGAUUGAAACAUUAAUCAUAUAGACAUAACUCAACCUAAUUAUUAAAUAAGAUGACUUGAUUAUUAAAUGAAUUAUACGAUGUGUUACAUAUUUAAUAAUUAGAUACUGUUUAGAUUUAUGUUUUUUACAUAAUUAUUAUUCAUGUUAGGUUUGAAUUGAGCUAUAUAAUAGAAUGCUUAAACUUUGACAUGAUACAAACACGAUCCACCAACAUGAAUUGUCACUUCUACUACUUGUAUUCACAUAUUGGGCUAAGAAUUGGUUCCAACAACCGUCAAUGUGCUACCCAGUCAAUAACAAAAAUGCUCCCACGAACAAAAUGGAACCUACACAUAGCAAUCUUCCCUUCUAGUACAUGAAUUAAGAGUGUAUUUGACAGUAUUUCUACUUAAAAUGCUUUUACAAAAAUAUUUUUAAUAAAAGUGUAUUUACAAGAAUUACCUAUUAAGAGUCCAUUUGACGGUAAUUUUAUGAAGAUUUUUUAGUCUAAAAAGUGUUUUUUUUUUUAUUUAAAAAAAAAGAUGUUUUGCUUUUACAUGCAAAACCACACUAAAUAACCAAUACACAUGAUACAAAAAUGACCUUCAAUCAAUCUUGCUUAAUUUUGUAAACAUUUUAAUUAAAUAGUUGAAUCAAACAUAUCAUUUUCUUGAGUCCUUAGGCCUCACUUCAAUGCCUUCAAUGAUAAGUCCUCCUUUCAAAUGGUAACCCUUCACCUCCCUCAAGCUCAUCCUCACUUCCUCAUCACCUUCACCAUUAAAGAAGUCUCCAAGCUC
RNAcentral lists this long non-coding RNA (6041 nucleotides) under Vitis vinifera (wine grape). RNAcentral describes it as "long non-coding RNA (VVIN_LNC004437)". The record is from RNAcentral. Lineage: Eukaryota; Viridiplantae; Streptophyta; Magnoliopsida; Vitales; Vitaceae.